Paramuricea clavata is the source of this 89-nucleotide non-coding RNA. The record is from the annotation of a GenBank genome assembly. Lineage: Eukaryota; Metazoa; Cnidaria; Anthozoa; Malacalcyonacea; Plexauridae.
AGAUUUAAAAUGGGCCAGCUUACUGCAGAGCAACGAAUAUUUAAAAAAAAUGUUCGUUGCUCUGCAGUAAGCUGGCCCAUUUUAUAUCU